UCCUCCCCUUCUGCGCGCCCCAGCGAUUCCGUGCGGGUUCGCCCAACCGGUGAGCUCGCGGGAGCUAACGCGCAGGCGCACAUCUAAGAGGGCGCCGCACAAAUGGCGGGGUGGCCUCAAAGGACGCAUGCGGAACACGGCCCGCCCUAGGCCUUCGCGAGAUUAGUCGCGCUGACUCAAUUUAAUCUUGACCCCUAUUCCUCCAUUUUGGUUCUCUCCCCGGCGCCGGGGAAGGGGCGUGGUCUAGAAUUAGCCCCUCCUGCGUGGGCGUGGCCUGGAUGGGCUACGGGAAGUGGCCGGUCAGACCAAAUUCCAAGUUACUACUCCUUCUCCCCCCUGCUUUGAAGGACCUUAAAAUCUUUGGCAAACAGUUAUUUACAGGUGGGGACAGCACCCCUAAACCGAGUGUGGGUGACGUCCGCCAAGGCCCGCCUCCCUCCUCCCGGCCUAUAGGAGCCGGGCGAGCAACGUUACCAUAGCAACGGGCCCACCGGGACCUGCUCGAGUUACAAGAAGGACGCGGGCUCCCGUGGGCAAAGCAUCCGGCGACCAUAGGCGUCGCCCAGCCUUCCGAAGAGCUCCAAGACUUGGCGGACGCUAAGCACGGCUGAGAUGCAUCGCUGCCUCGUGGCCUCCAGCAGUAAGAAAGAAGACAAAGCACUGAGCUCCUGCACGCGCCUACCAACUCCCGGUCCCGGAGACGAGAUGUGGACGUCCCAAAGCAUGAUGCUAGUCCUAGAGGCUCUCACCCCAAGUCACUGGGCCUUUUUACUUCUAAAGAUUUCCCUCUAAGGGAAGUCUCCAAAAUCCCACUUCCAUUUCUAAAGCUUCCAUUUCCAAUGCAGAGCUGGCCUUAAGCAGCAAUUUCAAACUAGAUUCCGAAAAGCUAUUUUCCAGGGGAUGACCUCCUCACCCUGGUCCCCAGGAUACAGUAUCAAAUGUACUUUCUCAACUCCUUUCCCCUACAAAUGAGGGUCUGUCUGCUUAUCUGUAACAGAGAUGUAACUAUGUCACAAAGUGGCUGCAUUAAUAAGUGGAAUAAAUACUCCCACACUGAGGAAGAUGCAUGUAUAUUCAAUAAAUAAUUGUUUCUGGU
Phyllostomus hastatus (greater spear-nosed bat) is the source of this 1096-nucleotide long non-coding RNA. RefSeq lists it as uncharacterized. The transcript has 3 exons. NCBI's taxonomy places the organism in Eukaryota, Metazoa, Chordata, Mammalia, Chiroptera, Phyllostomidae. The record is from RefSeq and is a predicted model, not a curated record.